UGCAUGGCAUCAUCAGAGUCCAGCGCCCUCCCCCCUACACGCUCUCCCUUUCUCUGUGGGGAAGGGAGGGAGGGGGCGGGGGCAGGCAGCUCUCCCCUCCCUCCACCUAUCCCUGCCGAAUGCCGAACCUCACUUCCGGGGAUGCCGGGGGCCCGGCACCCACGACGUAAGGGGAGGAGGGAGGCCCGGGCGAUGCAUCGCUACAGAUGCCGGCGCCCAGGUCCUGGAUGGCGCUGCGUCGGGGCACCCCCCCCCCUGCGACAGCGAGCACGCUUGUGCCUAAUCCAUAUGAUUAGGCAGAGCGUCAGCGCGGCUCGGGCGUGUGUCCCACCACCCACCCCCCGGCCCUCGCGCACUGCCUGCUGGUGUGCAGGGAGCCUGCGCCACGCCGAGGAGGAUGCACCGCGUGGCGGCCGGCACGAUGGGCGCGGGUCGGGGGUGGGUGGGUGGGGCCGCGUCUGAGGCAGGGGUCGUGCUGCGAUGACUGGGUCGGCGCAUUGCUGUGACGCGCGUGUCUAGCGCUGCUGCACACCACGCGAGGCGGGCCUGUGACGGGGCGCGUGCGGGCUCGAGUUGGGUUUGGACUCCUGUUGUAUGACAGAGAAACGGACACGUUGGAACCGAAA
Molecule: unclassified non-coding RNA, 626 nt
Filed under: Leishmania donovani
Lineage: Eukaryota; Euglenozoa; Kinetoplastea; Trypanosomatida; Trypanosomatidae
Description: gene:unknown
Source: RNAcentral